GGUUAAGCGACUAAGCGUACACGGUGGAUGCCCUGGCAGUCAGAGGCGAUGAAGGACGUGCUAAUCUGCGAUAAGCGUCGGUAAGGUGAUAUGAACCGUUAUAACCGGCGAUUUCCGAAUGGGGAAACCCAGUGUGUUUCGACACACUAUCAUUAACUGAAUCCAUAGGUUAAUGAGGCGAACCGGGGGAACUGAAACAUCUAAGUACCCCGAGGAAAAGAAAUCAACCGAGAUUCCCCCAGUAGCGGCGAGCGAACGGGGAGCAGCCCAGAGCCUGAAUCAGUGUGUGUGUUAGUGGAAGCGUCUGGAAAGGCGCGCGAUACAGGGUGACAGCCCCGUACACAAAAAUGCACAUACUGUGAGCUCGAUGAGUAGGGCGGGACACGUGGUAUCCUGUCUGAAUAUGGGGGGACCAUCCUCCAAGGCUAAAUACUCCUGACUGACCGAUAGUGAACCAGUACCGUGAGGGAAAGGCGAAAAGAACCCCGGCGAGGGGAGUGAAAAAGAACCUGAAACCGUGUACGUACAAGCAGUGGGAGCCUCUUUUAUGGGGUGACUGCGUACCUUUUGUAUAAUGGGUCAGCGACUUAUAUUCUGUAGCAAGGUUAACCGAAUAGGGGAGCCGAAGGGAAACCGAGUCUUAACUGGGCGUUAAGUUGCAGGGUAUAGACCCGAAACCCGGUGAUCUAGCCAUGGGCAGGUUGAAGGUUGGGUAACACUAACUGGAGGACCGAACCGACUAAUGUUGAAAAAUUAGCGGAUGACUUGUGGCUGGGGGUGAAAGGCCAAUCAAACCGGGAGAUAGCUGGUUCUCCCCGAAAGCUAUUUAGGUAGCGCCUCGUGAAUUCAUCUCCGGGGGUAGAGCACUGUUUCGGCAAGGGGGUCAUCCCGACUUACCAACCCGAUGCAAACUGCGAAUACCGGAGAAUGUUAUCACGGGAGACACACGGCGGGUGCUAACGUCCGUCGUGAAGAGGGAAACAACCCAGACCGCCAGCUAAGGUCCCAAAGUCAUGGUUAAGUGGGAAACGAUGUGGGAAGGCCCAGACAGCCAGGAUGUUGGCUUAGAAGCAGCCAUCAUUUAAAGAAAGCGUAAUAGCUCACUGGUCGAGUCGGCCUGCGCGGAAGAUGUAACGGGGCUAAACCAUGCACCGAAGCUGCGGCAGCGACACUAUGUGUUGUUGGGUAGGGGAGCGUUCUGUAAGCCUGUGAAGGUGUACUGUGAGGUAUGCUGGAGGUAUCAGAAGUGCGAAUGCUGACAUAAGUAACGAUAAAGCGGGUGAAAAGCCCGCUCGCCGGAAGACCAAGGGUUCCUGUCCAACGUUAAUCGGGGCAGGGUGAGUCGACCCCUAAGGCGAGGCCGAAAGGCGUAGUCGAUGGGAAACAGGUUAAUAUUCCUGUACUUGGUGUUACUGCGAAGGGGGGACGGAGAAGGCUAUGUUGGCCGGGCGACGGUUGUCCCGGUUUAAGCGUGUAGGCUGGUUUUCCAGGCAAAUCCGGAAAAUCAAGGCUGAGGCGUGAUGACGAGGCACUACGGUGCUGAAGCAACAAAUGCCCUGCUUCCAGGAAAAGCCUCUAAGCAUCAGGUAACAUCAAAUCGUACCCCAAACCGACACAGGUGGUCAGGUAGAGAAUACCAAGGCGCUUGAGAGAACUCGGGUGAAGGAACUAGGCAAAAUGGUGCCGUAACUUCGGGAGAAGGCACGCUGAUAUGUAGGUGAAGUCCCUCGCGGAUGGAGCUGAAAUCAGUCGAAGAUACCAGCUGGCUGCAACUGUUUAUUAAAAACACAGCACUGUGCAAACACGAAAGUGGACGUAUACGGUGUGACGCCUGCCCGGUGCCGGAAGGUUAAUUGAUGGGGUCAGCGCAAGCGAAGCUCUUGAUCGAAGCCCCGGUAAACGGCGGCCGUAACUAUAACGGUCCUAAGGUAGCGAAAUUCCUUGUCGGGUAAGUUCCGACCUGCACGAAUGGCGUAAUGAUGGCCAGGCUGUCUCCACCCGAGACUCAGUGAAAUUGAACUCGCUGUGAAGAUGCAGUGUACCCGCGGCAAGACGGAAAGACCCCGUGAACCUUUACUAUAGCUUGACACUGAACAUUGAGCCUUGAUGUGUAGGAUAGGUGGGAGGCUUAGAAGUGUGGACGCCAGUCUGCAUGGAGCCGACCUUGAAAUACCACCCUUUAAUGUUUGAUGUUCUAACGUUGACCCGUAAUCCGGGUUGCGGACAGUGUCUGGUGGGUAGUUUGACUGGGGCGGUCUCCUCCUAAAGAGUAACGGAGGAGCACGAAGGUUGGCUAAUCCUGGUCGGACAUCAGGAGGUUAGUGCAAUGGCAUAAGCCAGCUUGACUGCGAGCGUGACGGCGCGAGCAGGUGCGAAAGCAGGUCAUAGUGAUCCGGUGGUUCUGAAUGGAAGGGCCAUCGCUCAACGGAUAAAAGGUACUCCGGGGAUAACAGGCUGAUACCGCCCAAGAGUUCAUAUCGACGGCGGUGUUUGGCACCUCGAUGUCGGCUCAUCACAUCCUGGGGCUGAAGUAGGUCCCAAGGGUAUGGCUGUUCGCCAUUUAAAGUGGUACGCGAGCUGGGUUUAGAACGUCGUGAGACAGUUCGGUCCCUAUCUGCCGUGGGCGCUGGAGAACUGAGGGGGGCUGCUCCUAGUACGAGAGGACCGGAGUGGACGCAUCACUGGUGUUCGGGUUGUCAUGCCAAUGGCACUGCCCGGUAGCUAAAUGCGGAAGAGAUAAGUGCUGAAAGCAUCUAAGCACGAAACUUGCCCCGAGAUGAGUUCUCCCUGACUCCUUGAGAGUCCUGAAGGAACGUUGAAGACGACGACGUUGAUAGGCCGGGUGUGUAAGCGCAGCGAUGCGUUGAGCUAACCGGUACUAAUGAACCGUGAGGCUUAACCUU
This 2903-nucleotide ribosomal RNA is filed under the name Escherichia coli. RNAcentral describes it as "23S ribosomal RNA". It matches the Rfam family "Bacterial large subunit ribosomal RNA". The record is from RNAcentral. Lineage: Bacteria; Pseudomonadati; Pseudomonadota; Gammaproteobacteria; Enterobacterales; Enterobacteriaceae.